RNAcentral lists this long non-coding RNA (668 nucleotides) under Citrus sinensis (sweet orange). Its description in RNAcentral is "long non-coding RNA (CSIN_LNC000382)". Lineage: Eukaryota; Viridiplantae; Streptophyta; Magnoliopsida; Sapindales; Rutaceae. The record is from RNAcentral.
AAAGCUGUCCAGAGCGAACGAAUAACCUAUUGUGACAUCGAUAGCUACUUGUACCGGCUAAAUACAGUUCCGCAAUCAAACAUGAAAGCGAACAACUACAUUAUCUCUUUUAUUUAUUUUUUUUUUUUUCUAUUCCCCCAAAAUAUCUCCAACUUUUCAACGUCUGUUUUUGCGGGUUUUUAAUAAUAAUUAAAAUAUGAUAACAAUAAUAAUGAUAAUAAUAAUAAUAAUAAUGAUAAUAAUAAUAACUAGAACAAGUUUAUUUUACAAUAAUAAUAUCCAACAAUUAAACAGUAGAUGGAUUGUAAUUACCCUCCACGAUUAAAACGUUGCCGUGGCAACACACAUCAGCAGUCGGCCAGGCAUCCAGCAGUAAUUUAGGCUUUCACGUGGCAAGGAUGUUGUCCCCUUACUGAUGACGUCAUCACUCGCGACAGUUCGUUUCUUCCCGCCCACGCCAGCCAGCCAGCUGCCUCUUUCUCCCCUUAUACAAUUUGCCACGUCACUCACUGUGCUGACAUGACUAAUAUAACUCCUCUCUCUCACUACUCACUAGCUUCCAGAAUUCGGAGCGAUUUUCAUCUGAUACUAAUGAUAAUGAGGUUCGAAAACUUCAAUCCCAGCCGUGGGAUCAUCCACGUCACAUGGCUGCUGCUCCUCUGGCCGAC